AGUGAACGCUGGCGGUAGGCCUAACACAUGCAAGUCGAACGGCAGCACAGUAAGAGCUUGCUCUUACGGGUGGCGAGUGGCGGACGGGUGAGGAAUACAUCGGAAUCUACUUUUUCGUGGGUGAUAACGUAGGGAAACUAACGCUAAUACCGCAUACGACCUACGGGUGAAAGCAGGGGAUCUUCGGACCUUGUGCGAUUGAAUGAGCCGAUGUCGGAUUAGCUAGUUGGCGGGGUAAAGGCCCACCAAGGCGACGAUCCGUAGCUGGUCUGAGAGGAUGAUCAGCCACACUGGAACUGAGACACGGUCAAGACUCCUACGGGAGGCAGCAGUGGGGAAUAUUGGACAAUGGGAGCAAGCCUGAUCCAGCCAUACCGCGUGGGUGAAGAAGGCCUUCGGGUUGUAAAGCCCUUUUGUUGGGAAAGAAAAGCAGCAGGUUAAUACCCCGCUGUUCUGACGGUACCCAAAGAAUAAGCACCGGCUAACUUCGUG
RNAcentral lists this ribosomal RNA (492 nucleotides) under uncultured bacterium. RNAcentral describes it as "partial 16S ribosomal RNA". It matches the Rfam family "Bacterial small subunit ribosomal RNA", at positions 29 to 507 of the family's 1533-position model. The record is from RNAcentral.